This 253-nucleotide ribosomal RNA is filed under the name uncultured bacterium. RNAcentral describes it as "partial 16S ribosomal RNA". It matches the Rfam family "Bacterial small subunit ribosomal RNA", at positions 524 to 776 of the family's 1533-position model. The record is from RNAcentral.
UACGGAGGGUGCAAGCGUUAUCCGGAUUCACUGGGUUUAAAGGGUGCGUAGGUGGGCAGGUAAGUCAGUGGUGAAAUCUCUGAGCUUAACUCAGAAACUGCCGUUGAUACUAUCUGUCUUGAAUAUCGUGGAGGUGAGCGGAAUAUGUCAUGUAGCGGUGAAAUGCUUAGAUAUGACAUAGAACACCCAUUGCGAAGGCAGCUUACUACGGAUAUAUUGACACUGAGGCACGAAAGCGUGGGGAUCAAACAGG